CAUGCAAAGGCCGCCGCUGAAAAUCCUUACUGGAUAUCUCCUGCAUAUGCAACGUCACAACCAAAGCCUAUUUUCCAAGAAGUGUCUGAUGAUGAUGAUGAUGAUGAUGAUGUACAUCAAACAAGCAAGAAACCUAAGUUAGGAACUUAAAAAAAAUCUACUGUAAAUAUAGGUUUGUUUUGUUAUAUAAACUAUGGGUUAAUUUUUUUUAAUCAUUUAUUUGACUGAGAAGUACCAUACUUCCCCAAUUGCAGUAAUGACAGUUUAAUACAAAACAAUUUAUGUUGUAUGGGAGGUCAGUUUCAUAUAUUCAAGAAAUUAUUUUUUAAUAAAAAUGCAGUUUCAGGA
This is a long non-coding RNA of Anneissia japonica, 348 nucleotides long. RefSeq lists it as uncharacterized. NCBI's taxonomy places the organism in Eukaryota, Metazoa, Echinodermata, Crinoidea, Comatulida, Comatulidae. The transcript is spliced from 2 exons. The record is from RefSeq and is a predicted model, not a curated record.